CCAGUAGUCAUAUGCUUGUCUUAAAGAUUAAGCCAUGCAUGUCUAAGUAUAAGCUUUUAUACGGCUAAACUGCGAAUGGCUCAUUAAAACAGUUAUAGUUUAUUUGAUGGUCUUUACUACAUGGAUAACCGUGGUAAUUCUAAGGCUAAUACAUGCGCACAUGCCUCUUCCCCUGGAAGGGCAGUGUUUAUUAGAUACAGAACCAACCCACCUUCCGGUGGUCCUCAGGUGAUUCAUAGUAACCGAACGGAUCGCGUUGACUUCGGUCUGCGACGGAUCAUUCAAGUUUCUGACCUAUCAGCUUUCGACGGUACUGUAUUGGACUACCGUGGCAGUGACGGGUAACGGGGAAUUAGGGUUCGAUUCCGGAGAGGGAGCCUGAGAAACGGCUACCACAUCUAAGGAAGGCAGCAGGCGCGCAAAUUACCCAAUCCUGAUUCAGGGAGGUAGUGACAAGAAAUAACAACACUGGAAAUUUCAUUUCUAGUGAUUGGAAUGAUAGGAAUCCAAACCCCUUUCAGAGUAACAAUUGGAGGGCAAGUCUGGUGCCAGCAGCCGCGGUAAUUCCAGCUCCAAUAGCGUAUAUUAAAGUUGUUGCAGUUAAAAAGCUCGUAGUUGGAUUUCUGCUGGAAGCAGCCAGUCCGCCCUCAGGGGUGUGCACUUGGUGAAUUCUAGCAUCCUUCUGGAUUUCUCCACACUUCAUUGUGUGGAGUUUUUUCCAGGACUUUUACUUUGAGAAAAUUAGAGUGUUUCAAGCAGGCUUGUCGCCUUGAAUACUGCAGCAUGGAAUAAUAAGAUAGGAUUUCGGCCCUAUUUUGUUGGUUUCUAGGACUGAAGUAAUGAUUAAUAGGGACGGUUGGGGGCAUUCGUAUUUAACUGUCAGAGGUGAAAUUCUUAGAUUUGUUAAAGACGAACUACUGCGAAAGCAUUUGCCAAAGAUGUUUUCAUUAAUCAAGAACGAAAGUUAGGGGCUCGAAGACGAUCAGAUACCGUCGUAGUCUUAACCAUAAACUAUGCCGACUAGAGAUAGGAAAACGU
RNAcentral lists this ribosomal RNA (1038 nucleotides) under Toxoplasma gondii ME49. Its description in RNAcentral is "SSU rRNA". It matches the Rfam family "Eukaryotic small subunit ribosomal RNA", at positions 17 to 1063 of the family's 1831-position model. Lineage: Eukaryota; Apicomplexa; Conoidasida; Eucoccidiorida; Sarcocystidae. The record is from RNAcentral.